AAAGUCGUAACAAGGUAACCGUAGGUGAACCUGCGGUUGGAUCAUUACAAAAUUCUGUCAAUGCCUGUUCCCAGCGCCUUCGGGACGGGGCAGGCGGUGACUAAUCCACUUUGUGAACUCGACUGUUUUUUUGUGAAAGGGUGGAGGAGAUGCGUCCUUGAGUGGACCCGUCUUCUCUUCCCGGAGUCCUCGGAGACCGCGUUAGACGCGAUGCUGCGGGGGCCGCACAAACUCGAAUCAAUCAUUACGUUAUUUCUGAUCAAAUUGAAAAUAUAAUGAGAAACAACUUUAGACAACGGAUCUCUUGGCUCUC
RNAcentral lists this unclassified non-coding RNA (313 nucleotides) under Chytridiomycota sp. RNAcentral describes it as "partial contains small subunit ribosomal RNA, internal transcribed spacer 1, and 5.8S ribosomal RNA". The stretch from base 1 to 47 matches the Rfam family "Eukaryotic small subunit ribosomal RNA", at positions 1785 to 1831 of the family's 1831-position model. The record is from RNAcentral. Lineage: Eukaryota; Fungi; Chytridiomycota.